Molecule: transfer RNA, 85 nt
Filed under: Felis catus (domestic cat)
Lineage: Eukaryota; Metazoa; Chordata; Mammalia; Carnivora; Felidae
Rfam family: tRNA
About the family: Transfer RNA (tRNA) molecules are approximately 80 nucleotides in length.
Source: Rfam by way of RNAcentral
GCCUGGGUGGCUCAGUCAGUUAAGCGUCUGACUUCAGCUCAGGUCAUGAUCUCGAGGUUUGUGGGUUUGAGCCCCGCAUCGGGCU